This 301-nucleotide ribosomal RNA is filed under the name uncultured bacterium. RNAcentral's name for it is "partial 16S ribosomal RNA". It matches the Rfam family "Bacterial small subunit ribosomal RNA", at positions 509 to 807 of the family's 1533-position model. The record is from RNAcentral.
CAGCAGCCGCGGUAAUACGGAGGGUGCAAGCGUUAAUCGGAAUUACUGGGCGUAAAGCGCACGCAGGCGGUCUGUCAAGUCAGAUGUGAAAUCCCCGGGCUUAACCUGGGAACUGCAUUUGAAACUGGCAGGCUAGAGUCUUGUAGAGGGGGGUAGAAUUCCAGGUGUAGCGGUGAAAUGCGUAGAGAUCUGGAGGAAUACCGGUGGCGAAGGCGGCCCCCUGGACAAAGACUGACGCUCAGGUGCGAAAGCGUGGGGAACAAACAGGAUUAGAGACCCCAGUAGUCCCUGUCUCUUAUAC